Molecule: ribosomal RNA, 253 nt
Filed under: uncultured bacterium
Lineage: Bacteria
Description: partial 16S ribosomal RNA
Rfam family: Bacterial small subunit ribosomal RNA
Source: RNAcentral
UACGGGGGGGGCAAGCGUUGUUCGGAAUUACUGGGCGUAAAGGGCUCGUAGGCGGCCAACUAAGUCAUACGUGAAAUCCCUCGGCUUAACCGGGGAACUGCGUCUGAUACUGGGUGGCUUGAGUUCGGGAGAGGGAUGCGGAAUUCCAGGUGUAGCGGUGAAAUGCGUAGAUAUCUGGAGGAACACCGGUGGCGAAGGCGGCAUCCUGGACCGAUACUGACGCUGAGGAGCGAAAGCCAGGGGAGCAAACGGG